UCGGACGGACGGUCGCGAAGGAUAGCCUUUGAGGAAAGUCCGGACUCCACAGGAUACAACGACGGAUAACAUCCGCCGGUCGUAAGACCAGGGAAAGCGCAACAGAAAGUAAACCGCCUCCGAUUCGUCGAAGGUAAGGGUGCAACGGCGAGGUAAGAGCUCACCGCGUUUUGGGUAACCGAAACGGCAUGGCAAGCCCCGUUGGGAGCAAGGUUAAAACGCGUCGCGUUUGUUCGCAAACGGAGGGCGAUCCGUCCUAAAGACGCAGGUAAACCGCUGGAGCGGCCAGGCGACUGGUCGCCAAGAUAAAUGACCGUUGCUCUUUAUUGAGUACAGAAUCCGGCUUAUACUCCGACGC
Molecule: RNase P RNA, 358 nt
Filed under: bovine gut metagenome
Description: Bacterial RNase P class A
Rfam family: Bacterial RNase P class A
About the family: Ribonuclease P (RNase P) is a ubiquitous endoribonuclease, found in archaea, bacteria and eukarya as well as chloroplasts and mitochondria.
Source: RNAcentral